RNAcentral lists this ribosomal RNA (496 nucleotides) under uncultured bacterium. RNAcentral describes it as "partial 16S ribosomal RNA". It matches the Rfam family "Bacterial small subunit ribosomal RNA", at positions 29 to 507 of the family's 1533-position model. The record is from RNAcentral.
AUGAACGCUGGCGGCGUGCCCAAUACAUGCAAGUCGAGCGAACGGACGAGAAGCUUGCUUCUCUGAUGUUAGCGGCGGACGGGUGGGUAACACGUGGAUAACCUACCUAUAAGACUGGGAUAACUUCGGGAAACCGGAGCUAAUACCGGAUAAUAUUUUGAACCGCAUGGUUCAAAAGUGAAAGACGGUCUUGCUGUCACUUAUAGAUGGAUCCGCGCUGCAUUAGCUAGUUGGUAAGGUAACGGCUUACCAAGGCAACGAUGCAUAGCCGACCUGAGAGGGUGAUCGGCCACACUGGAACUGAGACACGGUCCAGACUCCUACGGGAGGCAGCAGUAGGGAAUCUUCCGCAAUGGGCGAAAGCCUGACGGAGCAACGCCGCGUGAGUGAUGAAGGUCUUCGGAUCGUAAAACUCUGUUAUUAGGGAAGAACAUAUGUGUAAGUAACUGUGCACAUCUUGACGGUACCUAAUCAGAAAGCCACGGCUAACUACGUG